GCAGGCUGUGAGUGAGUGGAACUGGACAGGCGACUAGCAUCAGUCACCCUGACCGGCCUAUCUCCUCAG
Molecule: microRNA precursor, 69 nt
Filed under: Mus pahari (shrew mouse)
Lineage: Eukaryota; Metazoa; Chordata; Mammalia; Rodentia; Muridae
Description: miRNA (MGP_PahariEiJ_G0007005.1)
Source: RNAcentral